GGGCGUAGCGCAGCUUGGUAGCGCGUUUGACUGGGGGUCAAAAGGUCGCAGGUUCAAAUCCUGUCGCCCCGACUA
RNAcentral lists this transfer RNA (75 nucleotides) under Balneolaceae bacterium. RNAcentral describes it as "tRNA-Pro". It matches the Rfam family "tRNA". From Rfam's summary of the family: Transfer RNA (tRNA) molecules are approximately 80 nucleotides in length. Their secondary structure includes four short double-helical elements and three loops (D, anti-codon, and T loops). Lineage: Bacteria; Pseudomonadati; Balneolota; Balneolia; Balneolales; Balneolaceae. The record is from RNAcentral.